This is a long non-coding RNA of Pogoniulus pusillus (Red-fronted tinkerbird), 293 nucleotides long. RefSeq lists it as uncharacterized. NCBI's taxonomy places the organism in Eukaryota, Metazoa, Chordata, Aves, Piciformes, Lybiidae. The transcript has 2 exons. The record is from RefSeq and is a predicted model, not a curated record.
AGGUGCUGGAGUAGUUUGCAUGCAAUGGGGCAGCUUUGUAGUCUCUGCCUUGAAGCCCCACAGGUGUCACAGAUGAGUUCCCCUGCAGCUGAAGAUGAGGAGGAUGAGGGGAAAAGUUGGUGUCUGACAGCCCAGUGUCAGGGCAAGUCCAUUACUGCUGCAUCUGCUGCCCACGCAGCACAGCCCUGAGCCCUGCUGUGAUGUUAGUGAGACAGCAGCAGCGUUUGCCUGUCAGCCUGCUCAGCCCUGCAGACACCCAGGAUAACAGGGCAGGAAGGAAAAAGUGACCAUUU